This 254-nucleotide ribosomal RNA is filed under the name uncultured bacterium. RNAcentral describes it as "partial 16S ribosomal RNA". It matches the Rfam family "Bacterial small subunit ribosomal RNA", at positions 524 to 776 of the family's 1533-position model. The record is from RNAcentral.
UACGUAGGGGGCAAGCGUUGUCCGGAUUUAUUGGGCGUAGAGAGCUCGUAGGUGGUUUGGUAAGUCGGAUGUGAAAUCUCCAGGCUCAACCUGGAGGGGUCAUUCGAUACUGCCAUGACUAGAGGUCGGUAGGGGAGUGUGGAAUUCCUGGUGUAGCGGUGAAAUGCGUAGAUAUCAGGAGGAACACCGGUGGUGUAGACGGCUUUCUGGACCGUAACUGACGCUGAGACACGAAAGCGUGGGUAGCAAACAGG